Molecule: transfer RNA, 72 nt
Filed under: Camelus bactrianus (Bactrian camel)
Lineage: Eukaryota; Metazoa; Chordata; Mammalia; Artiodactyla; Camelidae
Also listed under: 1 other name
Rfam family: tRNA
About the family: Transfer RNA (tRNA) molecules are approximately 80 nucleotides in length.
Source: Rfam by way of RNAcentral
AGAGAUAUAGCUCAGUGAUAGAGUGCGUGCUUGGCGUGCAUGAGGUCCUGGGUUCAGUGCCCAGUGCCUUCA